Phacochoerus africanus (Common warthog) is the source of this 920-nucleotide long non-coding RNA. RefSeq lists it as uncharacterized. The transcript has 3 exons. The record is from RefSeq and is a predicted model, not a curated record. Lineage: Eukaryota; Metazoa; Chordata; Mammalia; Artiodactyla; Suidae.
UCCUCAUGGAAACGAGUCAGAUUCCUAACCCACUGAGCCACAGGGGGCACUCCAAACCUCGCCGUUUUGAGAUCUCUGCAUGUUUACAGUUUGCCAGGCACGCAGCGGGCGCUAGGAAGUAGCGUGAUGAUGGAUGGUCUUGGUUUGGGUAUUUGGACCACAAUCGUGCUCCAGAGCGGGUUCAAUAGUGUCCCUCCCAGAUUCACAUCCACCUGGAAGCUCAGAUGUGACGUUUUUGGAAAUAAGAUCUCGGCAGAUGGCAUUUGUGAAGAUGAGCUCACUCUGGAGUAAAGGGGCCCUGAAUACAGUCACUGGUGCCCUUACAAGAGGGUAGAUGGGCAGAGACACGAGGAGGAAGGUGACGUGGAAAUGGAGGCAGGACGGCAGGGACGCAGCCACAAGCCCAGGCAUGAGGUCAAGGGCUCCAGCAGCCACUGAAACUGGGGAGAAGCAUCAGGCAGUUUCCCCCUUGGAGCCUCCGGAAGGAACCAAGCCUGCUGAUGCCUUGAUUUGGGGCUUCUGUCCUCCUGAGCGAAAAAAACUAGAGUCUGUGGUUUUGGUCCUUGUGUUUCUUAAACAUGGGAUUCGCCUGGACUCCUGGAAACACACAAUCGGACACAAAGGGAGCCUGGGGAAUUGCCCGAGUUGUAGCUGCUGAUCCAUCGGCCGUGGUGAGUGGAAUCUUCAGUUCCCUGCAAAGCUCUUGCUGAAGUAGAGGGUGUCUGCGGAUGUGGACGGCAUCUGAAAAUCCAGAUUCUCGGGAAAAUGUUGCAGCCCUCGUCUGCAGCAUGUUCCAGGGCUGGGAAUCGCAUCUGUGCCAUGGCAGCUUCCUGAGCUGCUGCAGUGACAACCCCGGAUCCUUAACCCACUGCAUCGCAAAGGAACUCUGCUUUUGCUUAUCUUCUUUUCUUAGCUUAUCU